AGUAACACGUGGAUAACCUACCUAUAAGACUGGGAUAACUUCGGGAAACCGGAGCUAAUACCGGAUGAUAUUUUGAACCGCAUGGUUCAAAAGUGAAAGACGGUCUUGCUGUCACUUAUAGAUGGAUCCGCGCUGCAUUAGCUAGUUGGUAAGGUAACGGCUUACCAAGGCAACGAUGCAUAGCCGACCUGAGAGGGUGAUCGGCCACACUGGAACUGAGACACGGUCAAG
Molecule: ribosomal RNA, 231 nt
Filed under: uncultured Staphylococcus sp.
Lineage: Bacteria; Bacillati; Bacillota; Bacilli; Caryophanales; Staphylococcaceae
Description: partial 16S ribosomal RNA
Rfam family: Bacterial small subunit ribosomal RNA
Source: RNAcentral